Long non-coding RNA from Erpetoichthys calabaricus (reedfish), 257 nucleotides. RefSeq lists it as uncharacterized. The transcript is spliced from 2 exons. The record is from RefSeq and is a predicted model, not a curated record. NCBI's taxonomy places the organism in Eukaryota, Metazoa, Chordata, Cladistia, Polypteriformes, Polypteridae.
GGUCCGAUGGCCAGGGUGGACAGAAAAAACAAAAAAAAACUCCAACGGCUGGAGAAAAAAAUAAAAUCUGCAGGGGUUCCAGACCACGAGACCACCCAGUCCCCUCUGGGUAUUCUACCUCACAUAAAUGAAACAGUCCUCUUUGUAUUUAGGGUUCUCAUGGAAGGACUUGAUGAUGAUGGUCAUGCAGACUUCUGACUUUUAAUCCAUCAAUGUUGGAACAUCAUGAUGCUUUGAGUAAAUGGUGGUGGUGCAGG